GACGAACGCUGGCGGCGUGCUUAACACAUGCAAGUCGAACGGAAAGGCCCUGCUUUUGUGGGGUGCUCGAGUGGCGAACGGGUGAGUAACACGUGAGUAACCUGCCCUUGACUUUGGGAUAACUUUAGGAAACUGGGGCUAAUACCGGAUAGGAGCUCCUGCUGCAUGGUGGGGGUUGGAAAGUUUCGGCGGUUGGGGAUGGACUCGCGGCUUAUCAGCUUGUUGGUGGGGUAGUGGCUUACCAAGGCUUUGACGGGUAGCCGGCCUGAGAGGGUGACCGGCCACAUUGGGACUGAGGUACGGCCCAGACUCCUACGGGAGGCAGCAGUGGGGAAUAUUGCACAAUGGGCGGAAGCCUGAUGCAGCAACGCCGCGUGCGGGAUGACGGCCUUCGGGUUGUAAACCGCUUUCGCCUGUGACGAAGCGUGAGUGACGGUAAUGGGUAAAGAAGCACCGGCUAACUACGUG
This 468-nucleotide ribosomal RNA is filed under the name uncultured bacterium. RNAcentral's name for it is "partial 16S ribosomal RNA". It matches the Rfam family "Bacterial small subunit ribosomal RNA", at positions 28 to 507 of the family's 1533-position model. The record is from RNAcentral.